AGCUACUAAGAGCGAAUGGUGGAUGCCUUGACUGGUAAAGGCGAUGAAGGACGUACUAGACUGCGAUAAGCUACGGGGAGCUGUCAAGAAGCUUUGAUCCGUAGAUUUCCGAAUGGGGCAACCCAAUGUAUAGAGAUAUACAUUACCUAUAUAGGAGCGAACGAGGGGAAUUGAAACAUCUUAGUACCCUCAGGAAAAGAAAUCAAUAGAGAUUGCGUCAGUAGCGGCGAGCGAAAGCGCAAGAGGGCAAACCCAGUGCUUGCACUGGGGGUUGUAGGACUGCAAUGUGCAAGAGCUGAGUUUAGCAGAACAUUCUGGAAAGUAUAGCCAUAGAGGGUGAUAGUCCCGUAUGCGAAAAACAAAGCUUAGCUAGCAGUAUCCUGAGUAGGGCGGGACACGAGGAAUCCUGUCUGAAUCCGGGUCGACCACGAUCCAACCCUAAAUACUAAUACCAGAUCGAUAGUGCACAAGUACCGUGAGGGAAAGGUGAAAAGAACUGAGGUGAUCAGAGUGAAAUAGAACCUGAAACCAUUUGCUUACAAUCAUUCAGAGCCCUAUGUAGCAAUACAGGGUGAUGGACUGCCUUUUGCAUAAUGAGCCUGCGAGUUGUGGUGUCUGGCAAGGUUAAGCAAACGCGAAGCCGUAGCGAAAGCGAGUCUGAAUAGGGCGCUUAGUCAGAUGCUGCAGACCCGAAACGAAGUGAUCUAUCCAUGAGCAAGUUGAAGCUAGUGUAAGAACUAGUGGAGGACUGAACCCAUAGGCGUUGAAAAGCCCCGGGAUGACUUGUGGAUAGGGGUGAAAGGCCAAUCAAACUUCGUGAUAGCUGGUUCUCUCCGAAAUAUAUUUAGGUAUAGCGUUGUGUCGUAAUAUAAGGGGGUAGAGCACUGAAUGGGCUAGGGCAUACACCAAUGUACCAAACCCUAUCAAACUCCGAAUACCUUAUAUGUAAUCACAGCAGUCAGGCGGCGAGUGAUAAAAUCCGUCGUCAAGAGGGAAACAACCCAGACUACCAGCUAAGGUCCCUAAAUCUUACUUAAGUGGAAAACGAUGUGAAGUUACUUAAACAACCAGGAGGUUGGCUUAGAAGCAGCCAUCCUUUAAAGAAAGCGUAAUAGCUCACUGGUCUAGUGAUUUUGCGCGGAAAAUAUAACGGGGCUAAAGUAAGUACCGAAGCUGUAGACUUGCGCACAACUUAGAUUAUUUAAGUUUAGAAUAUGAGAAACUAAGUUAUGUUUAGUUAUAUUUUUACUGAUUUUUAUAGAGUAAAGAUAGAAAUAAAACUUAGUAAAAUCAGUAAAAAUAUUCUUAGGCUAAAGUUAAGUAGUUUAAGUUGUGUGCAAGUGGUAGGAGAGCGUUCUAUUUGCGUCGAAGGUAUACCGGUAAGGAGUGCUGGAGCGAAUAGAAGUGAGCAUGCAGGCAUGAGUAGCGAUAAUUAAUGUGAGAAUCAUUAACGCCGUAAACCCAAGGUUUCCUACGCGAUGCUCGUCAUCGUAGGGUUAGUCGGGUCCUAAGUCGAGUCCGAAAGGGGUAGACGAUGGCAAAUUGGUUAAUAUUCCAAUACCAACAUUAGUGUGCGAUGGAAGGACGCUUAGGGCUAAGGGGGCUAGCGGAUGGAAGUGCUAGUCUAAGGUCGUAGGAGGUUAUACAGGCAAAUCCGUAUAACAAUACUCCGAGAACUGAAAGGCUUUUUGAAGUCUUCGGAUGGAUAGAAGAACCCCUGAUGCCGUCGAGCCAAGAAAAGUUUCUAAGUUUAGCUAAUGUUGCCCGUACCGUAAACCGACACAGGUGGGUGGGAUGAGUAUUCUAAGGCGCGUGGAAGAACUCUCUUUAAGGAACUCUGCAAAAUAGCACCGUAUCUUCGGUAUAAGGUGUGGUUAGCUUUGUAUUAGGAUUUACUCCGAAAGCAAGGAAACUUACAACAAAGAGUCCCUCCCGACUGUUUACCAAAAACACAGCACUCUGCUAACUCGUAAGAGGAUGUAUAGGGUGUGACGCCUGCCCGGUGCUCGAAGGUUAAUUGAUGGGGUUAGCAUUAGCGAAGCUCUUGAUCGAAGCCCGAGUAAACGGCGGCCGUAACUAUAACGGUCCUAAGGUAGCGAAAUUCCUUGUCGGUUAAAUACCGACCUGCAUGAAUGGCGUAACGAGAUGGGAGCUGUCUCAAAGAGGGAUCCAGUGAAAUUGUAGUGGAGGUGAAAAUUCCUCCUACCCGCGGCAAGACGGAAAGACCCCGUGGACCUUUACUACAGCUUGACACUGCUACUUGGAUAAGAAUGUGCAGGAUAGGUGGGAGGCUUUGAGUAUAUGACGCCAGUUGUAUAUGAGCCAUUGUUGAGAUACCACUCUUUCUUAUUUGGGUAGCUAACCAGCUUGAGUUAUCCUC
This 2380-nucleotide ribosomal RNA is filed under the name Campylobacter jejuni. RNAcentral's name for it is "bacterial LSU rRNA". It matches the Rfam family "Bacterial large subunit ribosomal RNA", at positions 1 to 2243 of the family's 2925-position model. The record is from RNAcentral. Lineage: Bacteria; Pseudomonadati; Campylobacterota; Epsilonproteobacteria; Campylobacterales; Campylobacteraceae.